This 948-nucleotide ribosomal RNA is filed under the name Listeria monocytogenes. RNAcentral's name for it is "partial 23S ribosomal RNA". It matches the Rfam family "Bacterial large subunit ribosomal RNA", at positions 408 to 1357 of the family's 2925-position model. Lineage: Bacteria; Bacillati; Bacillota; Bacilli; Caryophanales; Listeriaceae. The record is from RNAcentral.
CUGAGUACGGCGGAACACGUGAAAUUCCGUCGGAAUCCGGGAGGACCAUCUCCCAAGGCUAAAUACUCCCUAGUGACCGAUAGUGAACCAGUACCGUGAGGGAAAGGUGAAAAGCACCCCGGAAGGGGAGUGAAACAGUUCCUGAAACCGUGUGCCUACAAGUAGUUAGAGCCCGUUAAUGGGUGAUAGCGUGCCUUUUGUAGAAUGAACCGGCGAGUUACGAUUUGUUGCAAGGUUAAGCGGAAAAAGCGGAGCCGUAGCGAAAGCGAGUCUGAAUAGGGCGCAUAAGUAACAGGUCGUAGACCCGAAACCAGGUGAUCUACCCAUGUCCAGGAUGAAGGUAAGGUAAUACUUACUGGAGGUCCGAACCCACGCACGUUGAAAAGUGCGGGGAUGAGGUGUGGGUAGCGGAGAAAUUCCAAUCGAACUUGGAGAUAGCUGGUUCUCUCCGAAAUAGCUUUAGGGCUAGCCUCGAGGUAAAGAGUCAUGGAGGUAGAGCACUGUUUGGACUAGGGGCCCUUCUCGGGUUACCGAAUUCAGAUAAACUCCGAAUGCCAUGUACUUAUACUCGGGAGUCAGACUGCGAGUGAUAAGAUCCGUAGUCGAAAGGGAAACAGCCCAGACCACCAGUUAAGGUCCCCAAAUAUAUGUUAAGUGGAAAAGGAUGUGGGGUUGCUUAGACAACCAGGAUGUUGGCUUAGAAGCAGCCACCAUUGAAAGAGUGCGUAAUAGCUCACUGGUCGAGUGACCCCGCGCCGAAAAUGUACCGGGGCUAAACAUAUUACCGAAACUGUGGAUGAACCUCUUUAGAGGUUCGUGGUAGGAGAGCGUUCUAAGGGCGGUGAAGUCAGACCGGAAGGACUGGUGGAGCGCUUAGAAGUGAGAAUGCCGGUAUGAGUAGCGAAAGAAGGGUGAGAAUCCCUUCCACCGAAUAUCUAAGGUUUCCUG